This 291-nucleotide unclassified non-coding RNA is filed under the name uncultured fungus. Its description in RNAcentral is "partial contains small subunit ribosomal RNA, internal transcribed spacer 1, and 5.8S ribosomal RNA". The stretch from base 1 to 73 matches the Rfam family "Eukaryotic small subunit ribosomal RNA", at positions 1759 to 1831 of the family's 1831-position model. The record is from RNAcentral. Lineage: Eukaryota; Fungi.
GCAAACUUGGUCAUUUAGAGGAAGUAAAAGUCGUAACAAGGUUUCCGUAGGUGAACCUGCGGAAGGAUCAUUCACAAUGCAAGUGUUCAAUGGCACUUUCAAAAUCCAUUACCCACCUUGUGUGCACUGUAAGGAAGGAAGGGGGAGACAAGAGCCUCGCUCUUGCGCUUCCCCCCACUUUCAUAUACAUACCAACUUGUCUUUUAUCGUCUACUUUUUCGAGUAAUAAAAAACUCUAAUACAACUUUCAACAACGGAUCUCUUGGCUCUCGCAUCGAUGAAGAACGCAGC